AAACCGACAGACAGCAGCUCGCC
This 23-nucleotide non-coding RNA is filed under the name Arabidopsis thaliana (thale cress). The record is from RNAcentral. Lineage: Eukaryota; Viridiplantae; Streptophyta; Magnoliopsida; Brassicales; Brassicaceae.